This 360-nucleotide unclassified non-coding RNA is filed under the name soil metagenome. Its description in RNAcentral is "partial contains 5.8S ribosomal RNA, internal transcribed spacer 2, and large subunit ribosomal RNA". The stretch from base 1 to 120 matches the Rfam family "5.8S ribosomal RNA", at positions 35 to 154 of the family's 154-position model. The record is from RNAcentral.
GAUGAAGAACGCAGCGAAAUGCGAUAAGUAAUGCGAAUUGCAGAAUUCAGUGAAUCAUCGAAUCUUUGAACGCACAUUGCGCCCCCCAGUAUUCUGGCGGGCAUGCCUGUCUGAGCGUCGUUUCGACCCUCGCGCCCGGCUUCUGUCGGGGGCGGUGUUGGGGAUCGGCCACACCCUUCAGUGGGAGGCCGGCCCCUAAAUUCAGUGGCGACCACGCUGUAGCCUCCCCUGCGUAGUACUAAAACCACCUCGCAGGCGGAGAGCGGUGCGGCCCGCCGUAAAACCCCCCAACUUUUACAAGGUCGACCUCAGAUCAGGUAGGAAUACCCGCUGAACUUAAGCAUAUCAAUAAGCGGAGGA